Mustela putorius furo (domestic ferret) is the source of this 297-nucleotide non-coding RNA. The record is from Rfam. NCBI's taxonomy places the organism in Eukaryota, Metazoa, Chordata, Mammalia, Carnivora, Mustelidae.
GCCGGGCGCGGUGGUGCACGCCGGUAGUCCCAGAUGCUCAGGAGGCUGAAGGAAGAGGAUCGCUUGAGCCCAGGAACUCUGGGCUGUAGUGCGCUAUGCCAAUUGGGUGUCCGCACUAAGUUCUGCAUCAAUAUGGUGACCUCCCAGGAGCGGGGGACCACCAGAUUGCCUAAGGAAUCAGCCCAGGUCGGAAAAGGAGCAGGUCAAAACUCCUGUGCUGAUCAUUAAAGUUAGAAAGAAUAUGAUGUUUAUUUUUUAUAAAUAUAUUCCACAUGCAAAAAUGUAACCAAUAUUUAG